AGUGAACGCUGGCGGUAGGCCUAACACAUGCAAGUCGAACGGCAGCACAGUAAGAGCUUGCUCUUACGGGUGGCGAGUGGCGGACGGGUGAGGAAUACAUCGGACUCUACUUUUUCGUGGGGGAUAACGUAGGGAAACUAACGCUAAUACCGCAUACGACCAACGGGUAAAAGCAGGGGAUCUUCGGACCUUGCGCUAUGGAAUGAGCCGAUGUCGGAUUAGCUAGUUGGCGGGGUAAAGGCCCACCAAGGCGACGAUCCGUAGCUGGUCUGAGAGGAUGAUCAGCCACACUGGAACUGAGACACGGUCCAGACUCCUACGGGAGGCAGCAGUGGGGAAUAUUGGACAAUGGGCGCAAGCCUGAUCCAGCCAUACCGCGUGGGUGAAGAAGGCCUUCGGGUUGUAAAGCCCUUUUGUUGGGAAAGAAAAGCAGCAGGUUAAUACCCCGCUGUUCUGACGGUACCCAAAGAAUAAGCACCGGCUAACUUCGUG
RNAcentral lists this ribosomal RNA (492 nucleotides) under uncultured bacterium. Its description in RNAcentral is "partial 16S ribosomal RNA". It matches the Rfam family "Bacterial small subunit ribosomal RNA", at positions 29 to 507 of the family's 1533-position model. The record is from RNAcentral.